This is a long non-coding RNA of Xiphophorus couchianus (Monterrey platyfish), 493 nucleotides long. RefSeq lists it as uncharacterized. The record is from RefSeq and is a predicted model, not a curated record. Lineage: Eukaryota; Metazoa; Chordata; Actinopteri; Cyprinodontiformes; Poeciliidae. The transcript has 3 exons.
UUUCGAAAAAUUUUAUUGUUACUGUAAACAUUUAAAAACAUUACAUUGUUGCAAUUAUUCAGAAAUUUCUAAAAACUUACAAAUUCAUCAAUUUAGGCUAAAAGAAGCUAAGAACAAGAACUAUAAAAUACAAAAUCUCUGUGUGUUAAAAGUUGAGCAGGACCGGGGUGACUCCCUCCCAAGUCCGGAGGGGUCCCGUCCUUCCAGACAGCACUUGGUGCUCAGAGGGGAAACCUGCCCUGAAGCUCCUUCCCUCCUGCCUCACCCGGAGAGCCAGGCCGCCGCUGCUUGGACCUCUACUCGUGGAGCACCGGCUCCUUCGUCCACGGAGGCGCAGGCGAUUCUUCUUGGUGGCUGUGUCCUUGGCGCGCCACCUGCAGCCCUUGGUGUUCCUCUUUUUGCUGCUGCCAUCCGGAGCACAGCCACGGGGGGCAUCUGCCUGCGCCUGCUCACCAGCAAGUUUCUGGAGGUCCAAGUGGCCUACCCCAAUGAU